Molecule: ribosomal RNA, 234 nt
Filed under: uncultured bacterium
Lineage: Bacteria
Description: partial 16S ribosomal RNA
Rfam family: Bacterial small subunit ribosomal RNA
Source: RNAcentral
UGAGUAACCUGCCCUUAACUCUGGGAUAAGCCUGGGAAACUGGGUCUAAUACCGGAUAUGACUCCUCAUCGCAUGGUGGGGGGUGGAAAGCUUUAUUGUGGUUUUGGAUGGACUCGCGGCCUAUCAGCUUGUUGGUGGGGUGAUGGCCUACCAAGGCGGCGACGGGUAGCCGGCCUGAGAGGGCGACCGGCCACACUGGGACUGAGACACGGCCCAGACUCCUACGGGAGGCAG